AGGGGAUAACUACUGGAAGCGGUAGCUAAUACCGCAUAACGUCGCAAGACCAAAGAGGGGGACCUUCGGGCCUCUUGCCAUCAGAUGUGCCCAGAUGGGAUUAGCUAGUAGGUGGGGUAACGGCUCACCUAGGCGACGAUCCCUAGCUGGUCUGAGAGGAUGACCAGCCACACUGGAACUGAGACACGGUCCAG
This 194-nucleotide ribosomal RNA is filed under the name uncultured Enterobacterales bacterium. RNAcentral describes it as "partial 16S ribosomal RNA". It matches the Rfam family "Bacterial small subunit ribosomal RNA", at positions 138 to 334 of the family's 1533-position model. Lineage: Bacteria; Pseudomonadati; Pseudomonadota; Gammaproteobacteria; Enterobacterales. The record is from RNAcentral.